AAAAUACUCCAUCCGUCCCAAAUUACUUACCGCAGCAAUGGAUAAAAACGGAUGUAUCUAGAACUAAAAUACGUCUAUAUACAUCAAUUUUUGCUACAAGUAAUUUCAAACGGAGGGAGUAUCGU
Triticum urartu is the source of this 125-nucleotide non-coding RNA. The record is from Rfam. NCBI's taxonomy places the organism in Eukaryota, Viridiplantae, Streptophyta, Magnoliopsida, Poales, Poaceae.